CCAAUUCCCGCAAACUGACCGUGUCUGGUUUUUGCGAUAGCGUCGUUUGUAAACAGGUCCCAGUCACCGGCGAGCACUGCUGGCGACCAAUCACAUGACGUCCUCUCUCCUCUUUGCUGCCCUCGCGUGGGAAAGGCAGUUGCGACGCCGAGCCCGCUUCCUCUCGCCCGACACCUGACGGCCCCGAGUUGGCCAUGGCUUUGCUGCUGUGCCGACGGCCCAUUCCUCUCCUGGCUGUCCACCCACGCAAAUACAAAAGGACAGGAGUCGCAGAAUCGAAUAACAACGAAAAAGUCGGACCAAAAAUGUAAAUAGGCGGGCUGUUGAGCACCAUGGAUCGUGUCCAUCGCCCCCCCCCCUGCCCCACCGCUGGCCGUGUCGCCAAAUAGAAAAUCGUAC
This 399-nucleotide long non-coding RNA is filed under the name Pandoravirus celtis. RNAcentral's name for it is "hypothetical ncRNA". The record is from RNAcentral.